Molecule: long non-coding RNA, 481 nt
Filed under: Equus asinus (donkey)
Lineage: Eukaryota; Metazoa; Chordata; Mammalia; Perissodactyla; Equidae
Description: lncRNA (ENSEASG00005037164.1)
Source: RNAcentral
CUGGCAGUUCCCUAGAUGAGCCACGUUUUUCCUUUUCUCUGGGCCUCUGGGUGUGCUGUUUCUUCCGCCUGGAUGCCUGACUCGUGCCUAACCGUCCACCUGUCCCCCAUGAUUGUCAGUCAUGGUGGGCUCCUUGCCAGGGCCCAGGUGUUUGGAGGCUGGCAUCGGCUGCUGUCCAUGGUCCCUGAAACACCCCACCAACAAGGGCUGCACUCGGGACAGGUACCCAGCCUUUCUCAGGAGUUCUGAACCAGGCUGCCUACUUCCUUGGAGGAGGCAGGCAAGGCUGGGAAAGGAGAGCUCGGCCCGGCUGCUUGCGGAAUUCUGGAGGAGGCAGGAGUGGAGGGCUGCCAUCUGUCCAGCUGCCCCCAGGCCUUCUCUGCAGCAUCCCCAUCCCAGUCUGGCCCUUUCAUCUUUCUUCAGACCUCUCUCUCCUCUUGAAGUAUUGGCUUCUCUAUCCUCUUCCUUCAUAAACUCUCAC